AGUUUGAUCCUGGCUCAGGAUGAACGCUAGCUACAGGCUUAACACAUGCAAGUCGAGGGGCAGCAUUGGAGUAGCAAUACUUCAGAUGGCGGCCGGCGCACGGGUGAGUAACACGUAUCCAACCUGCCGCUUACUCGGGGAUAGCCUUUCGAAAGAAAGAUUAAUACCCGAUGGUAUAAAGAGUUCGCAUGUUCUCUUUAUUAAAGAAUUUCGGUAAGCGAUGGGGAUGCGUUCCAUUAGAUAGUUGGCGGGGUAACGGCCCACCAAGUCUACGAUGGAUAGGGGUUCUGAGAGGAAGGUCCCCCACAUUGGAACUGAGACACGGUCCAAACUCCUACGGGAGGCAGCAGUGAGGAAUAUUGGUCAAUGGACGAGAGUCUGAACCAGCCAAGUAGCGUGAAGGAUGACUGCCCUAUGGGUUGUAAACUUCUUUUAUAAGGGAAUAAAGUGAGGGACGUGUCCCUUUUUGUAUGUACCUUAUGAAUAAGGAUCGGCUAACUCCGUGCCAGCAGCCGCGGUAAUACGGAGGAUCCAAGCGUUAUCCGGAUUUAUUGGGUUUAAAGGGAGCGUAGGUUGACAUAUAAGUCAGCUGUGAAAGUUUACGGCUCAACCGUGAAAUUGCAGUUGAUACUGUAUGUCUUGAGUGUACAAGAGGUGGGCGGAAUUCGUGGUGUAGCGGUGAAAUGCUUAGAUAUCACGAAGAACUCCAAUUGCGAAGGCAGCUCACUGGGGUACAACUGACACUGAGGCUCGAAAGUGUGGGUAUCAAACAGGAUUAGAUACCCUGGUAGUCCACACAGUAAACGAUGAAUACUCGCUGUUUGCGAUAUACAGUAAGCGGCCAAGCGAAAGCAUUAAGUAUUCCACCUGGGGAGUACGCCGGCAACGGUGAAACUCAAAGGAAUUGACGGGGGCCCGCACAAGCGGAGGAACAUGUGGUUUAAUUCGAUGAUACGCGAGGAACCUUACCCGGGCUUGAAUUGCAGAGGAAUAUAGUUGAAAGAUUAUCGCCGCAAGGUCUCUGUGAAGGUGCUGCAUGGUUGUCGUCAGCUCGUGCCGUGAGGUGUCGGCUUAAGUGCCAUAACGAGCGCAACCCUUAUCAUUAGUUACUAACAGGUCAUGCUGAGGACUCUAGUGAGACUGCCGUCGUAAGAUGUGAGGAAGGUGGA
RNAcentral lists this ribosomal RNA (1169 nucleotides) under uncultured Bacteroides sp. RNAcentral describes it as "bacterial SSU rRNA". It matches the Rfam family "Bacterial small subunit ribosomal RNA", at positions 10 to 1177 of the family's 1533-position model. The record is from RNAcentral. Lineage: Bacteria; Pseudomonadati; Bacteroidota; Bacteroidia; Bacteroidales; Bacteroidaceae.